CAGCAGCCACGGGAAAACGUAGGAGGCAAGCGUUGUCCGGAAUUAUUGGGCGUAAAGGGCUCGCAGGCGGUUUCUUAAGUCUGAUGUGAAAGCCCCCGGCUCAACCGGGGAGGGUCAUUGGAAACUGGGAAACUUGAGUGCAGAAGAGGAGAGUGGAAUUCCACGUGUAGCGGUGAAAUGCGUAGAGAUGUGGAGGAACACCAGUGGCGAAGGCGACUCUCUGGUCUGUAACUGACGCUGAGGAGCGAAAGCUAGGGGAGCAAACAGGAUUAGAUACCCCGGUAGUCCCUGUCUCUUAUAC
This 301-nucleotide ribosomal RNA is filed under the name uncultured bacterium. RNAcentral's name for it is "partial 16S ribosomal RNA". It matches the Rfam family "Bacterial small subunit ribosomal RNA", at positions 509 to 807 of the family's 1533-position model. The record is from RNAcentral.